Long non-coding RNA from Myripristis murdjan (pinecone soldierfish), 860 nucleotides. RefSeq lists it as uncharacterized. The transcript has 3 exons. Lineage: Eukaryota; Metazoa; Chordata; Actinopteri; Holocentriformes; Holocentridae. The record is from RefSeq and is a predicted model, not a curated record.
AACGCGGCCAACACGAGCCAACUUGAAGAGCUGAAGAGUUUGACAGCUCCUUCCCCAGAACCAGCCAUCAUAACCCGGCUCCUUCAGUCUGUAAAUCACAGCGCACGGCACAAAAUAAACCGGGGAUCCCCUUGUGAUCACAGUCAGUCUGAGGAAUUCACAUGUGAAGACUUUUACACCAAACUGAAAAACGUUUUGUGAUGGGAUCAUUAUAGAGGCUGAAGUUUCGAAGAUGAGUCGAUGUUGUGGAAGGAAGAAAUUUUGAGGAACUUGCCAGUGGGACUCCAUCCUGAAAUGCAUAUUUGGGUUCAUGGAGGAUCUUCAGACCACAUAUACUCUGAACAUUAUUCAUGGGCUUCUUUUAACAGCCUUGUUUUCUACCCUGCCCUUGUUUUUCAUGAGGUUUCUUUCACCCAUUAUUCCCCUCUGAAAUCUCCUGAACUGUACCAAACGCGUCGGAAAAGUCUGAGCUGCACUUUUUUAGUCACAAAGCUUUCAUAAAGUAACACUGGAAAGGGGAGAAAAAAUAUCGAAUGCAUUUUUUUUUCAUCAUGAAUGGGGACAUGAAUGCAACGAUCUGCAUGUUGUCAUUGUGUUACUUCAAAAAAAAGCCCACCAUCUUCGAGAAGACAAGUCUUUCUGGGUCUUCAAAUUUGACCCAAUGGAAGCAGGUUUUGUUGUGAUUGUAUUGUCAUGUAUGAAUCAGCGUUAUUGGUUUUUCCACCUUGCUUCAUUGUGGUUUUUGUAUUUCUUUUAAGCUUUGUAGCUGCUGAAAAUCAAUUGCCUUCCAACAAAACAGAAACUUAAUUGUUAAUGCAACCAGGUUUAAAUGAAAUGAUCAUUGUGGAACUUAAAGCGAU